GAUGAACGCUGGCGGCGUGCUUAACACAUGCAAGUCGAACGGUGAAAGAGAGCUUGCUCUCUGGAUCAGUGGCGAACGGGUGAGUAACACGUGAGCAAUCUGCCCCUGACUCUGGGAUAAGCGCUGGAAACGGCGUCUAAUACCGGAUACGAGCUGCGAAGGCAUCUUCAGCAGCUGGAAAGAACUUCGGUCAGGGAUGAGCUCGCGGCCUAUCAGCUAGUUGGUGAGGUAACGGCUCACCAAGGCGUCGACGGGUAGCCGGCCUGAGAGGGUGACCGGCCACACUGGGACUGAGACACGGCCCAGACUCCUACGGGAGGCAGCAGUGGGGAAUAUUGCACAAUGGGCGAAAGCCUGAUGCAGCAACGCCGCGUGAGGGACGACGGCCUUCGGGUUGUAAACCUCUUUUAGCAGGGAAGAAGCGAAAGUGACGGUACCUGCAGAAAAAGCACCGGCUGACUACGUG
RNAcentral lists this ribosomal RNA (466 nucleotides) under uncultured bacterium. RNAcentral's name for it is "partial 16S ribosomal RNA". It matches the Rfam family "Bacterial small subunit ribosomal RNA", at positions 28 to 507 of the family's 1533-position model. The record is from RNAcentral.